Molecule: ribosomal RNA, 1289 nt
Filed under: uncultured bacterium
Lineage: Bacteria
Description: bacterial SSU rRNA
Rfam family: Bacterial small subunit ribosomal RNA
Source: RNAcentral
UAGCGGCGGACGGGUGAGUAACGCGUGGAUAACCUGCCUCGUACAGGGGGAUAACAGUUAGAAAUGACUGCUAAUACCGCAUAAGCGCACAAGACCGCAUGGUCCGGUGUGAAAAACUCCGGUGGUAUGGGAUGGAUCCGCGUCUGAUUAGCUGGUUGGUGAGGUAACGGCCCACCAAGGCGACGAUCAGUAGCCGACCUGAGAGGGUGGCCGGCCACAUUGGGACUGAGACACGGCCCAAACUCCUACGGGAGGCAGCAGUGGGGAAUAUUGCACAAUGGGGGAAACCCUGAUGCAGCAACGCCGCGUGAGUGAAGAAGUAUUUCGGUAUGUAAAGCUCUAUCAGCAGGGAAGAAGAAAGACGGUACCUGACUAAGAAGCCCCGGCUAACUACGUGCCAGCAGCCGCGGUAAUACGUAGGGGGCAAGCGUUAUCCGGAUUUACUGGGUGUAAAGGGAGCGUAGACGGCUGUGCAAGUCUGAAGUGAAAGCCCGUGGCUCAACCGCGGAACUGCUUUGGAAACUGUAUAGCUUGAGUACUGGAGAGGCAGGCGGAAUUCCUAGUGUAGCGGUGAAAUGCGUAGAUAUUAGGAGGAACACCAGUGGCGAAGGCGGCCUGCUGGACAGAAACUGACGUUGAGGCUCGAGAGCGUGGGGAGCAAACAGGAUUAGAUACCCUGGUAGUCCACGCGGUAAACGAUGAAUGCUAGGUGUUGGGGAGCAAAGCUCUUCGGGUGCCGUCGCAAACGCAGUAAGCAUUCCACCUGGGGAGUACGUUCGCAAGAAUGAAACUCAAAGGAAUUGACGGGGACCCGCACAAGCGGUGGAGCAUGUGGUUUAAUUCGAAGCAACGCGAAGAACCUUACCAAGUCUUGACAUCCUCCUGAAUGAUGGGUAAAGCCGUCAGGCCUUCGGGACAGGAGAGACAGGUGGUGCAUGGUUGUCGUCAGCUCGUGUCGUGAGAUGUUGGGUUAAGUCCCGCAACGAGCGCAACCCUUAUCCUCAGUAGCCAGCGGCCAGGCCGGGCACUCUGUGGAGACUGCCAGGGAGAACCUGGAGGAAGGUGGGGAUGACGUCAAAUCAUCAUGCCCCUUAUGAUUUGGGCUACACACGUGCUACAAUGGCGUAAACAAAGGGAAGCGAAGUGGCGACACGGAGCGAAUCCCAAAAAUAACGUCUCAGUUCGGAUUGUAGUCUGCAACUCGACUACAUGAAGCUGGAAUCGCUAGUAAUCGCGGAUCAGAAUGCCGCGGUGAAUACGUUCCCGGGUCUUGUACACAACGCCCGUCA